This 591-nucleotide long non-coding RNA is filed under the name Sorghum bicolor (sorghum). Its description in RNAcentral is "long non-coding RNA (SBIC_LNC006075)". The record is from RNAcentral. Lineage: Eukaryota; Viridiplantae; Streptophyta; Magnoliopsida; Poales; Poaceae.
GAGGUUUUGAAACUUGGCGCUGUAUUGUACUGCACUUUGUCUUCGGACUUUUUUUGUUGUUGUUGUAACACCCAAAAUAUGAUUUUUAAUAGAGUUUAAUUGGAUUUAUUUAAGUAUUUUUAUGAGCAUUUAAUUUAGCACUUAAAUAAUUUUUAUGGAAAAUAAAAUCUAUCAUAAGGUUAGGAACAUGCUUGUGCAUACAUGCUGGAAUAUUUAUUUAUUUUACUGUGUGUUUGGUUUUAUUUGUGUUCAAAAUUCUAUUUAAAAAAUGAUUUGGAAAAGAAAAGAAAAGAAAAAAAAUGAAGAGAAGGUUUACCUGCUCUCAUCCCGUGGCCGAGGCCCAGCAUUCCUCCGCGGCCCAGCCUAAUUCCUCCCUCCCCGAGCGUGCACCCCACCCUCUCUCUGUUGGCUGAUGACCGGGCCCCACCUCCUUUCUCUCCCUAUCCGGCUGACGCGCUGACCCCACCUGGCGGCGCCCCAUCUUCUUCCUCUCGCCGUGAGCGAAUUGGACUCGGCCGAGACCACCGACGCCGAACCAAACCUUCCCAAUCCCAAAAACCCCGGGAUUUGGAUUUCCCUGCUAAAGCGCCC